UGGUAAUUCCAGAGCUAAUACAUGCAAACAACAUGAAUCAUUCAUAGCAAUACGGGUUGAGACAUGUGCUUUUAUUAGACUUUAAAACCAAUAUCUGCACCUCGGUGUAGGUUUGUUUUAGAUGAAUCUGGAUAAUUAUGGCUGAUCGUACGGUCUUAGCACCGACGAUAGAUCAUUCAAAUGUCUGCCCUAUCAACUAUUGAUGGUAGUAUAGUGGACUACCAUGGUUGCAACGGGUAACGGGGAAUCAGGGUUCGAUUCCGGAGAGGGAGCCUGAGAAACGGCUACCACAUCUAAGGAAGGCAGCAGGCGCGUAAAUUACCCAAUCCCGGCACGGGGAGGUAGUGACGAAAAAUAACAAUACAGGA
Molecule: ribosomal RNA, 368 nt
Filed under: Phlebotomus chinensis
Lineage: Eukaryota; Metazoa; Arthropoda; Insecta; Diptera; Psychodidae
Description: SSU rRNA
Rfam family: Eukaryotic small subunit ribosomal RNA
Source: RNAcentral